UCUUCCGUAGUAUAGUGGUUAGUAUGGGAGCUUGUCACCUUCACAGGGUCCUCGUUCCAGACCCGGGUUCAAUUCCCGGCGGGAGAG
Non-coding RNA from Phialemonium atrogriseum, 87 nucleotides. The record is from the annotation of a RefSeq genome assembly. Lineage: Eukaryota; Fungi; Ascomycota; Sordariomycetes; Cephalothecales; Cephalothecaceae.